Molecule: ribosomal RNA, 254 nt
Filed under: uncultured bacterium
Lineage: Bacteria
Description: partial 16S ribosomal RNA
Rfam family: Bacterial small subunit ribosomal RNA
Source: RNAcentral
UACAGAGGGGGCAAGCGUUAUUCGGAAUUAUUGGGCGUAAAGGGCGCGUAGGCGGUCAGCACAAGUCAGUUGUGAAAUCUCCGGGCUUAACUCGGAAAGGUCAACUGAUACUGUGCGACUAGAGUGCAGAAGGGGCAACUGGAAUUCUCGGUGUAGCGGUGAAAUGCGUAGAUAUCGAGAGGAACACCUGCGGCGAAGGCGGGUUGCUGGGCUGACACUGACGCUGAGGCGCGAAAGCCAGGGGAGCGAACGGG